Molecule: ribosomal RNA, 253 nt
Filed under: uncultured bacterium
Lineage: Bacteria
Description: partial 16S ribosomal RNA
Rfam family: Bacterial small subunit ribosomal RNA
Source: RNAcentral
UACGUAGGGUGCAGGCGUUAAUCGGAAUUACUGGGCGUAAAGCGUGCGCAGGCGGUUAUGCAAGACAGAUGUGAAAUCCCCGGGCUCAACCUGGGAACUGCAUUUGUGACUGCAUGGCUAGAGUACGGUAGAGGGGGAUGGAAUUCCGCGUGUAGCAGUGAAAUGCGUAGAUAUGCGGAGGAACACCGAUGGCGAAGGCAAUCCCCUGGACCUGUACUGACGCUCAUGCACGAAAGCGUGGGGAGCAAACAGG